CCGCGGCCUCCUGGGAGUUGUAGUUCUCUGCAGGGAGGCUGGGAGGUGGUCGGGACUUACUCCUCCUCCGCCGUCGCCUGUUUUCGGCCUCGUUCUUCCGCCUACAAACCCUUGAGAGGAAUAGCUAUUGCCCUGCGGAAGGGCCUUUUACCUGCAGCUUUCCGCCCCCGGAGCAGAUGGUGACCAGAGUGUGGUCAUGGCAGCUGAGUCUUACAGCCACUCGGAAGGGGCCCUUCUCUCUUCAUCAGCAGGCUUAGUCCUUACUCAUUUGAAUGACUCUGACACGAUAAGCAGAUCCUUACCCUGUGGCAACAAAAGCAGGAGAAGUCGUCUCUCUGGGCUCUGUCAGCUUGGAGCAUCGCUGCCUGGGGAGAAGUGGAGCUCUUACUGUUUGUCUUCUCUGACAGCUCGUAACAUUUGUACCAGCAAAACUGAUAACUCAUGGGCUCGGUGGGAUUCUGCCUCUCUUUCUGCUUCCAUUGGAAGUUCUGCUUCUUGCUCCUUUUUACACACCUCAGCUGUGGAGGAAUCCAGCCAGCACCUCCCAGCUGCUGCACGCAACCCAAACCAAGCCAUCUUCACCGUGGAUGCCAGCACAACAGAGAUCCUAGUGGCCAAUGACCGAGCUUGCAAGUUGCUUGGGUGCAGUAGUCAGGAACUCAUUGGUCAAAAGCUGUCCCACUUGAUAUCCAAAUCUGAUCAAGAGGCAUGGGAAGCAGUGGGUGAGGAGUACCUAGAAACUUCUGAAUGUUCAACAGUGGUUUCAGGAACUGUGGUGGAAGUUGUUGGCCGCCUCAAUGAGAAGAUCCCUGUCUCAGUCUGGUUGAGGCAGAUAAGAAGCAAGGACACCCAGCAUUGUGUGGUUGUGUUGGAACCAGUGGAAAGACUUUCAGCUUGUGUUUCCUUCACGGUUGACGGAAAAAUUACAUCGUGUGACCUCCUUUAUGCUCAUCUCCAUGGCUACCCAACAUUGGAAACAGUAGUUGGACUCCACAUAAAGGACCUGAUUCCUUCUGUGCAGAUCCCUCCUCUAGGAAAAAAAAUCCCCAAGAAGCUCAGGAUCCAGCGAGCUGCAGGCAGAUCCAGAGAGGGCACCAUGUUUCCUCUCAGUUUAAAGCUGGAAGUCAGCCACCUGGAGGAGAAUCAAGCAGCAGUACAGAAAGAUGAGGUUCCACAGACAGAAGGCUUCCUCCCAGGCUAUCAGUACUCUGCUACAGUUGUGGUUUUCUCCACCAUCAGUGGUCUUAUCACUGUCCAGUCAGGUGGAAUCAUCUGUGGCAUCAUGGAUAGUCUUGCUUUAAUGCUCUUUGGCUAUGAGAAGAAAGAUCUUCUGGGAAAGAACAUUACAUUCCUGAUCCCUGGUUUCUAUAACAACAUGGAAAGAAGCAGUGGCUGUUCUGUGCCUUUACCUCCUCUGGGUGAUUUCAUGGGGACAGAAGAGAGCAGCUUCUUGGCUCCAUCUUUAGCACACCUUCUGUCAAGAGAUGAAGAGCAGAAACUGGAGCAACAACACAAAGAUGACAAAUUAAUACAUGAUGAGAAUAAACAAACAAAUGGGACCAGUUUCUUUUCUCCUCCCUCACCUCCUGAAGCAGCAUCCACCCCCACUAAUAGGUUGCCUGUUUGUUCCAGACUAGAAGACCAUGUGAACACAUCAUCCUGUGAGCCAGUGAAGCCUUCUGAAGUUACUUGUAAUUCACCUGGAACACCAACAAUGGAUGAGCCGUGGCCUGGGACAGCACUGAACUGCAGACAAGACUUUAAAAGCCACGUGGUUCCAGGGCAGGUGUCAGAAACAAACUCGAUGUGUGAUGCAAAACAUUCCAGCCUCGAGCACAUUGUUGUUGGCAACUGUCUGCUAAACGAUCCUUCGACCUUCUUUGCAUGUGAAAGAAAUAAUCUCUGUGAUGUUUGCUCAGGAAAUGAAACAAGCUGCAGUGCUUCUGCAUCAGGAACUGCCAGAACCUCUGAAGAUGUGAAAAAAUCUGAAUGGAACUGUAUUUGCUCUGGUCUUGAGGUACUGGGACUGAAUACCAAGGGGAACUCAGCUGUCAAGGGGAACUCAGACAAUUCUUUAGGUGUUACUGCAGUUCUUGAAGGAGGAUGUUGCUCUGAUGCAGCAGACUCCAAUAUGCCAGUUGAGACAAAUGAUGCUUUUUCCACUCAUCAAGGAGAGCAGCUACUGAGUGGUGUUGCCACAGAAGCUAAUUCUGGAUGGUUAGUCACCAGAAGGCAUUUACAAAACUCUGAGGAAUCCUCCAAAGCAUUUCCUGAGAAACCUGAAUUCCUUGCAGAAACUGUGGGGGACAACUCCAACAGAAAUCCCCUGAAAAGCAAAGGUAGGCCUGAAGAGCACUGCCAGUUCCUCAGGCAGCACAAUACGGAGAUCAAAGUAACAUCAACCCCAGUGAAACAAGAAGGCAGGCUAAAUCCAGCAGCUCCUUUCACCUGGGGGAUUCUGGAAGGCAGCUACAUGGGGAAUUGCUGUCACAGAGAUGGUUCACAAUUCAGCAUACUCUUCGAGGUGAAAUGUGCAGAACUGCAGGAUCCCACUGUACUUUGCUGUGUCUGGGUGGUGAAAGAGCUUUCACAGAGCCAAAAGGAAGCUGUAGCAAAGACUCAGCAUUUGUUUGCCAGCCUAGCAAACUCUCCCCAGUCUGUGGCUGAUCUUUCUACUAAAAGUCUUGGAGAAGCCAUCAGAUCAACUUCACUUUUUGACAGCUCCCGAAGAGCUGAAGAUCUUGAAGGAUUAAGAGCAUGUGAAGGAGAAUAUGCAAAAAAUUACAGCACUCUCAAUCUUAUUGGCAAAGGCUCUUUUGGCUUUGUCUGGAGUGCCAGGAGCAAGAAGGAUCACCAGGAGGUUGUUGUAAAGUUCAUCUGGAAGGAGAGGGUGCUGGAGGACUGCUGGGUAGAUGAUCCUGACCUGGGGAGGGUCACUCAAGAAAUUGCAAUCCUGCAGAAGCUGCAGCACCCCAGUAUCAUUAAGGUGCUAGAUGUAUUUGAAAAUGAAUGCUUCUUCCAACUGGUGAUGGAGAAGCAUGGAUCUGGUCUGGACCUCUUUGCAUUUAUUGAUAAUCAGCCCAACUUGGAUGAGCCAUUAGCAAGUUAUAUAUUCAGACAGCUUGUAUCAGCUGUUGGGUAUCUCCACUGUAGGAACAUCCUGCACAGAGAUAUCAAGGAUGAAAAUAUUGUCAUUGCUGAAGAUUUCACAAUUAAGUUAGUGGACUUUGGUUCUGCUGCCUACCUGGAACCUGGGAAAUUAUUUUAUACCUUCUGUGGGACAAUUGAAUACUGCUCACCAGAAGUGCUGUCUGGCAAACCGUAUGUCACCCUCUGAAACGUCAUUUUUAUGCCAUCACACCAAAAAAAACCCCAUGUGGGCAGGGCUGGAACGGAGAAGCCAAGCUGCUGUGCCAUUGGAACGCUGCUAGAGUAACCAACCACAGGAAACUGCAGCGAUGUUUGAGGCACUGCAGUGGCAGAAGUCACUGUGAAGGUUUUUGCGUACGAAGUAGGGCAAUCUAGUGACAGAAGUCAAGUUGUAAAAGCUUGAAUAUGUACUAAGUUGUUUCUAAAUCUGUUGUCAGGCUUUCUCUAGCAAAAGCUGCUCUUUCAGAGAGGUGGAGAUAGCACCUUCUUGCAUGUCUGUGCUUUGUAUCCUCCCACUCUCAUCUUCUCUGUUCUUUUUUCUACAUGUUUCCCUCUGUUUUUGCAGUUUGAUCCUUGUUCAUCUCCCCACUGAUUUUUGUACUCCUUGGGACUCAAGGAUUCUUUUCUUGCUGCUGUUUUGGAUGUGCUACCUAAAUCUUGGCUCUUUUCCCUCUUCUUUCCCUCUCCAAGAGCUCUGUAGCUAGCAGCUGGUGCUCUCAUAGCUGCUCCACAAGGAAGCCUCCCCAGCACAGGGGUGGCACUGCUGUGGUUGUACAUGCCUGGAUGGAUCUUGCUCCUGCUUCACUGCUGUUUCCAUGGAUCCUUCAGGCAGCUUCUCCUAAAGGAGUGGGGGAAAAAGCAAUGCAAGGAGGAGAGGAAGUUCCUGCUGGGAAUGAGAUGAAAGGUGAAGCAAGCAGCUCUACCCUGGGAGUUCCACCUCUUACUGUGUGAAGGAACUAGCAUGUUUUCUCAGAUGGAAUUGAGAUGGUUAAUAGUUAUUUCCAAAUAACUUUUGUUUUGAAAGGGCUGGGAGGGUGUUUUUGCUCUUCCAGUUAAAUAUUUACUUCACAGUUUUGGCUGAUGAUGAAGAAGGUGGAGGGGUACCAUGGCCCUGAGCUGGAGAUGUGGUCGCUUGGCAUCACCCUUUACACUCUGGUGCUUGGGGAGAAUCCCUUCUGUGAGCUGGAGGAGGCCUUGGCAGCUGUCCUGAGUCC
Parus major (Great Tit) is the source of this 4364-nucleotide RNA transcript. It is a transcript of the gene named PAS domain containing serine/threonine kinase, with no coding region annotated. Lineage: Eukaryota; Metazoa; Chordata; Aves; Passeriformes; Paridae. The record is from RefSeq and is a predicted model, not a curated record. The transcript has 16 exons.